UCCUCCUACGGGGCGCAGCAGUGAGGAAUAUUGGUCAAUGGGCGGAAGCCUGAACCAGCCAAGUCGCGUGAGGGAAUAAGGCCCUACGGGUCGUAAACCUCUUUUGCCGGGGAGCAAGGGCCGGGACGCGUCCCGGCCCGGAGAGUACCCGGAGAAAAAGCAUCGGCUAACUACGUGCCAGCAGCCGCGGUAAUACGUAGGGGGCUAGCGUUAUCCGGAAUUACUGGGCGUAAAGGGUGCGUAGGUGGUUUCUUAAGUCAGAGGUGAAAGGCUACGGCUCAACCGUAGUAAGCCUUUGAAACUGG
This 305-nucleotide ribosomal RNA is filed under the name uncultured bacterium. RNAcentral describes it as "bacterial SSU rRNA". It matches the Rfam family "Bacterial small subunit ribosomal RNA", at positions 334 to 636 of the family's 1533-position model. The record is from RNAcentral.